Molecule: non-coding RNA, 371 nt
Organism: Paramormyrops kingsleyae
Lineage: Eukaryota; Metazoa; Chordata; Actinopteri; Osteoglossiformes; Mormyridae
Source: RefSeq, a predicted model, not a curated record
GCUAAACGUCAACGCUACACUUUAAAUUACCAGGAAGCUGACUCCAGUGGGCUUGGUUAUGCGUCGCUAGUGUCACAUGUGACUUUGAAUAACGAUCGAUUUGGUUUCAGUAGGUCCGAUUUAUUAGCGAUACAGUUAAAGCCCCCUAAAGGAGGAUGUCGGCGACGGUGAUCGUGCAGAAAAUAGCCGGAGUGUCGGGGUCACUUGCCGUGUGUUUGGGAGCGUAUGGAGCGCAUGGAUUCAGGCGCAGUGAUAGAGAUGAGUAUUUGAAAGAGGUAAAUAUGGUGCAUCGCAUUUUAAAUAAUUGUAUUUGUGAAUUCUGGCCACUCAGGUUUGAUAAAUAUCGUGGCAACGGUAAAUUGCGUAAAGAG